Molecule: transfer RNA, 76 nt
Filed under: Neisseria meningitidis
Lineage: Bacteria; Pseudomonadati; Pseudomonadota; Betaproteobacteria; Neisseriales; Neisseriaceae
Description: tRNA-Thr
Rfam family: tRNA
About the family: Transfer RNA (tRNA) molecules are approximately 80 nucleotides in length.
Source: RNAcentral
GCCGGUAUAGUUCAGUUGGUAGAGCACCUGACUUGUAAUCAGGGGGUCCCGAGUUCGACUCUUGGUGCCGGCACCA